UACGUAGGUGGCAAGCGUUGUCCGGAAUUACUGGGCGUAAAGGGCGAGUAGGCGGUUACCCAAGUCAGGUGUGAAAACUCCCGGCUCAACCGGGAGAUUGCAGUUGAUACUGAGUAACUUGAGUGCAGGAGAGGGCAGUGGAAUUCCUAGUGUAGCGGUGAAAUGCGUAGAUAUUAGGAGGAACACCAGUGGCGAAGGCGGCUGCCUGGACUGUAACUGACGCUGAGGCGCGAAAGCGUGGGGAGCAAACAGGAUUAGAUACCCCCGUAGUCCG
RNAcentral lists this ribosomal RNA (274 nucleotides) under uncultured Desulfotomaculum sp. RNAcentral's name for it is "partial 16S ribosomal RNA". It matches the Rfam family "Bacterial small subunit ribosomal RNA", at positions 524 to 797 of the family's 1533-position model. The record is from RNAcentral. Lineage: Bacteria; Bacillati; Bacillota; Clostridia; Eubacteriales; Desulfotomaculaceae.